UGAAAGGUUUUUUUUAAAACCAAACAAAUGAAGAUAUAUAUAUAUAU
Non-coding RNA from Struthio camelus australis, 47 nucleotides. The record is from Rfam. Lineage: Eukaryota; Metazoa; Chordata; Aves; Struthioniformes; Struthionidae.